This 492-nucleotide ribosomal RNA is filed under the name uncultured bacterium. Its description in RNAcentral is "partial 16S ribosomal RNA". It matches the Rfam family "Bacterial small subunit ribosomal RNA", at positions 29 to 507 of the family's 1533-position model. The record is from RNAcentral.
AGUGAAAACUGGCGGUAGGCCUAACACAUGCAAGUCGAACGGCAGCACAGUAAGAGCUUGCUCUUACGGGUGGCGAGUGGCGGACGGGUGGGGAAUACAUCGGAAUCUACUUUUUCGUGGGGGAUAACGUAGGGAAACUUACGCUAAUACCGCAUACGACCUACGGGUGAAAGCAGGGGAUCUUCGGACCUUGCGCGAUUGAAUGAGCCGAUGUCGGAUUAGCUAGUUGGCGGGGUAAAGGCCCACCAAGGCGACGAUCCGUAGCUGGUCUGAGAGGAUGAUCAGCCACACUGGAACUGAGACACGGUCCAGACUCCUACGGGAGGCAGCAGUGGGGAAUAUUGGACAAUGGGCGCAAGCCUGAUCCAGCCAUACCGCGUGGGUGAAGAAGGCCUUCGGGUUGUAAAGCCCUUUUGUUGGGAAAGAAAAGCAGCAGGUUAAUACCCCGCUGUUCUGACGGUACCCAAAGAAUAAGCACCGGCUAACUUCGUG